Molecule: ribosomal RNA, 529 nt
Filed under: Bifidobacterium bifidum
Lineage: Bacteria; Bacillati; Actinomycetota; Actinomycetes; Bifidobacteriales; Bifidobacteriaceae
Description: bacterial SSU rRNA
Rfam family: Bacterial small subunit ribosomal RNA
Source: RNAcentral
CGGGUGGUAAUGCCGGAUGUUCCACAUGAUCGCAUGUGAUUGUGGGAAAGAUUCUAUCGGCGUGGGAUGGGGUCGCGUCCUAUCAGCUUGUUGGUGAGGUAACGGCUCACCAAGGCUUCGACGGGUAGCCGGCCUGAGAGGGCGACCGGCCACAUUGGGACUGAGAUACGGCCCAGACUCCUACGGGAGGCAGCAGUGGGGAAUAUUGCACAAUGGGCGCAAGCCUGAUGCAGCGACGCCGCGUGAGGGAUGGAGGCCUUCGGGUUGUAAACCUCUUUUGUUUGGGAGCAAGCCUUCGGGUGAGUGUACCUUUCGAAUAAGCGCCGGCUAACUACGUGCCAGCAGCCGCGGUAAUACGUAGGGCGCAAGCGUUAUCCGGAUUUAUUGGGCGUAAAGGGCUCGUAGGCGGCUCGUCGCGUCCGGUGUGAAAGUCCAUCGCUUAACGGUGGAUCUGCGCCGGGUACGGGCGGGCUGGAGUGCGGUAGGGGAGACUGGAAUUCCCGGUGUAACGGUGGAAUGUGUAGAUAUC